RNAcentral lists this ribosomal RNA (343 nucleotides) under uncultured bacterium. RNAcentral describes it as "bacterial SSU rRNA". It matches the Rfam family "Bacterial small subunit ribosomal RNA", at positions 1 to 334 of the family's 1533-position model. The record is from RNAcentral.
CUAGCGACUUAGAGUUUGAUCCUGGCUCAGGAUGAACGCUGGCGGCGUGCUUAACACAUGCAAGUCGAACGGACUUACCAUGAAACCUAGUGAUUGGUAAGUUAGUGGCGGACGGGUGAGUAACGCGUGGGUAACCUGCCUCACACUGGGGGAUAACAGUUAGAAAUAGCUGCUAAUACCGCAUAAGCGCACAGGGCCGCAUGGUCCGGUGUGAAAAACUCCGGUGGUGUGAGAUGGACCCGCGUCUGAUUAGCUAGUUGGUGGGGUAACGGCCUACCAAGGCGACGAUCAGUAGCCGGCCUGAGAGGGUGAACGGCCACAUUGGGACUGAGACACGGCCCAA